CCUGGGCGGGAGCGGCAGCGGGCUGUGGGCCUGCAGUGUGGCGGCCGCUGAGAACACCCGACUUCAGUUUCACCUGUGACAGUGGCCUCUCUGUAGCAGUUCUGCACUUGGUGGGGGAAAAAUUAACCCGGCCAUACCAGUUCAUCUGCAAGUCCUGCUGUGGUCCAAGGGAAGGAGAUGGCUGUGCAGAAGUCACCAAACUGCAUCUUCUGUCCAAGGAAGCAAACGGCAUGCGGCCCUCUCAGUAAGAAGGUGGCUGCCUCAUCCACCAUGCAAGAUACGUGUAUGUCUACUGCCCUUACUCAAGGUUUUGAAAGGUGCUGCGGAGGAAGACACAGUACUCUCAGCCUAAGUAGGCACGGUAAGCGAGUGAGACUGUCAGAUGGCCUCAGGGCUGGCCUAACUUUAUUCCUGUUGAAGUCAGCGAUAAAACUCCCAUAAACCGAGCUUUUUGAAAAUCCCACCCUCGGGGCACUAAGGUACUUAAAGGAAGAGGCUGGAAAUCGUGCAGGCUUUAGAUUCAAUUUGGAUCACUUUUUAUAUACUUCUUGCAGUGUUCCGAGCCACAGAACAGCGAUGAUAACGGGUUCCUCGUUCUAUUUCACUGUGUGGAAGCAUGGAGGACGGAUACUGUAACUCAUGCAGUAAAAUGCUGUCUGGCUGAAAGCACCGGUGCAUUUUGAAGAGGAAAGAGAAUCUUGCAGCAAAGGGCCAGGGCCGGCACCCAGGAGAUCUGGUUUUAUUUCUCAGUUCUGACACGGGCUUCCUGUAUGACCUCAGCAGAGUCAUGUAAUUGCUUGGUGCCUCAGUCCAUCAUCUCCUUAAUAGGGUUACUACUUACUUAUUUCCUUUCUCCCGCCCUGGCCUGUCUUACUUAGGCUGCAAUUCUGGCAGGGAGUAGAGCAUUUCUGACCACGUGCGGGGCCUUCACCUAGCACAGUGAGGCAUAAUGGCAGUGCCUGUGCAGCAAUGCAGUGUCAAUUAAAUAAAUAAAUGAAGAUGAUAAUAUCAUUUCGGACUAGAACUUCAGCUUGUAACCCAGCCCAAGGUCAAAGCAUGGUAUGGAACCGUGCGACGUGGAACCUUGGGACCUGAGGAAAUGCUGCCCCCGAGCAUGGACAGGUUUGGGGAAGGCUUUGGUGUUGGUGACAGCCAGCAGCUGGCCUGCUUGGGCUCCUCGUGGUGGUUGAGGAAGCCUCAUCACUCACAGCCUUGCGUGGUCUUUGGUCGUAACUUUGAUCUAGAGAAUAAUUCUGUGUGGAAACGCUUCAGAAGCACACCUGCUUUAACCCGAGUCAACACGUUUUGUACUGAAUCCAGGCCGUGGCUGAGGUUGACAUAGAGCUGGGCAAGAGCUGAUAGGCGCACACUGCUACACGGUGCUUUGUAAGGACAUUCGUGUUGAGAGUGCUGUGUUCCCUGUUUGUGGGUCACCCCUUUAC
Molecule: long non-coding RNA, 1442 nt
Organism: Gallus gallus (chicken)
Lineage: Eukaryota; Metazoa; Chordata; Aves; Galliformes; Phasianidae
Source: Ensembl